Molecule: non-coding RNA, 29 nt
Filed under: Cricetulus griseus (Chinese hamster)
Lineage: Eukaryota; Metazoa; Chordata; Mammalia; Rodentia; Cricetidae
Source: RNAcentral
UCUGAAACUCUAAAACUUGUUGAUCCCAG